GGUUGACCUCGGAUCAGGUAGGGAUACCCGCUGAACUUAAGCAUAUCAAUAAGCGGAGGAAAAG
RNAcentral lists this ribosomal RNA (64 nucleotides) under Trichophyton interdigitale. RNAcentral describes it as "partial 28S ribosomal RNA". It matches the Rfam family "Eukaryotic large subunit ribosomal RNA", at positions 1 to 61 of the family's 3401-position model. The record is from RNAcentral. Lineage: Eukaryota; Fungi; Ascomycota; Eurotiomycetes; Onygenales; Arthrodermataceae.